CACGUAGGGUGCGAGCGUUGCCCGGAAUUAUUGGGCGUAAAGAGCUCGUAGGCGGCUUGUCGCGUCGACUGUGAAAACCCGCGGCUCAACUGCGGGCCUGCAGCCGAUACGGGCAGGCUAGAGUUCGGUAGGGGAGACUGGAAUUCCUGGUGUAGCGGUGAAAUGCGCAGAUAUCUGGAGGAACACCGGUGGCGAAGGCGGCAUCCUGGACCGAGAUUGACGCUGAGGCGCGAAAGCCAGGGGAGCAAACGGG
RNAcentral lists this ribosomal RNA (253 nucleotides) under uncultured bacterium. RNAcentral describes it as "partial 16S ribosomal RNA". It matches the Rfam family "Bacterial small subunit ribosomal RNA", at positions 524 to 776 of the family's 1533-position model. The record is from RNAcentral.